UACGUAGGUGGCAAGCGUUAUCCGGAAUUAUUGGGCGUAAAGCGCGCGCAGGCGGUUUCUUAAGUCUGAUGUGAAAGCCCACGGCUCAACCGUGGAGGGUCAUUGGAAACUGGGAAACUUGAGUGCAGAAGAGAAGAGUGGAAUUCCACGUGUAGCGGUGAAAUGCGUAGAGAUGUGGAGGAACACCAGUGGCGAAGGCGACUCUUUGGUCUGUAACUGACGCUGAGGCGCGAAAGCGUGGGGAGCAAACAGG
RNAcentral lists this ribosomal RNA (253 nucleotides) under uncultured bacterium. RNAcentral describes it as "partial 16S ribosomal RNA". It matches the Rfam family "Bacterial small subunit ribosomal RNA", at positions 524 to 776 of the family's 1533-position model. The record is from RNAcentral.